CCGUUUCAAUCUGUUGGGGGCAAAUAAAAUGCACAUGGGCGUCAAUUCCCCCCGCCGUUAAAAUCAUUCCUUCCCCGGCGAUCGCCUCGGUGCUGGGGCCAAUGAUUAUGGAAACAUUGUCUUGGAUAUGGGGGUUGCCUGCCUUACCAAUGGCGUAAAUGCGACCGUUCUUAAUGCCCACAUCAGCUUUGACAAUGCCCCACCAAUCCAAAAUCAACGCAUUGGUGAUCACCACAUCCACCGCCCCUUCUGCCCUGCUUAAAGGGGAUUGCCCCAUGCCAUCCCGA
Molecule: small RNA, 287 nt
Filed under: Synechocystis sp. PCC 6803
Lineage: Bacteria; Bacillati; Cyanobacteriota; Cyanophyceae; Synechococcales; Merismopediaceae
Description: 5' ureB small RNA
Rfam family: 5' ureB small RNA
Source: Rfam by way of RNAcentral